This 558-nucleotide long non-coding RNA is filed under the name Ananas comosus (pineapple). RNAcentral's name for it is "long non-coding RNA (ACOM_LNC003207)". The record is from RNAcentral. Lineage: Eukaryota; Viridiplantae; Streptophyta; Magnoliopsida; Poales; Bromeliaceae.
GAUGUAUAUGUACUUUGUGGACAGUCACUAUGGUUUUGAUACUUUCUCUUUUAGUCGAGAUUUUGGAUUGUACACUCUUUGUUCUUUUGCCGAUAGUAUAUCGACUUGUACUUUGCUCUGAUAUCAGGAUAGGAUUUUACUUUGCUUCUUCCUAUCGACUUGCUUCUUGUAGACGCCUUAUAUACUGCAGGUGUAUGGCGGGUCUAUGCACGUACCGGAUAUGCUUCCGCUGCCCCGGGCGUGACAAAAUGUCAGGGAGGGAAAGUGAAAAAGCGGGUUAUUACAAGGGGGUUUUCUGUAAUUUAGCCAUAAAUUUAUUUUAAUCAUUCAUUACAAAUUUAAAAUAACAUCUAUAAUUAUAUUUAAUCAUAUAAUAAAUUUAAUAUUAAUAAAAUUGUUCUAACAUUUCACUUAGAAUUAUACAAUAUUAAACCUUAUCACAAAUGAACUUUAUUUUUCGAAAAUAUCAUUUUAAUUUUUAAAUUUUUUCAUUCUAGACGAAACAACGGUUCAAAAUAUAUUUACCCAUUUCUAUUUCUUCUUGCAUUUGAUAGUUUA